RNAcentral lists this ribosomal RNA (253 nucleotides) under uncultured bacterium. RNAcentral describes it as "partial 16S ribosomal RNA". It matches the Rfam family "Bacterial small subunit ribosomal RNA", at positions 524 to 776 of the family's 1533-position model. The record is from RNAcentral.
UACGUAGGGUGCGAGCGUUAAUCGGAAUUACUGGGCGUAAAGCGUGCGCAGGCGGUUCGUUAAGUCAGAUGUGAAAGCCCCGGGCUCAACCUGGGAACUGCAUUUGAAACUGGCGGGCUUGAGUAUGGCAGAGGGGGGUGGAAUUCCGCGUGUAGCAGUGAAAUGCGUAGAGAUGCGGAGGAACACCGAUGGCGAAGGCAGCCCCCUGGGCCAAUACUGACGCUCAGGCACGGAAGCGUGGGGAGCAAACAGG